GACCGCGUAGCUCAGUUGGCAGAGCAUUGGGAUAAUAUUCCAAAGGUCGUAGGUUCGAUUCCCACCGUGGCCA
RNAcentral lists this transfer RNA (73 nucleotides) under Paramuricea clavata. It matches the Rfam family "tRNA". From Rfam's summary of the family: Transfer RNA (tRNA) molecules are approximately 80 nucleotides in length. Their secondary structure includes four short double-helical elements and three loops (D, anti-codon, and T loops). Lineage: Eukaryota; Metazoa; Cnidaria; Anthozoa; Malacalcyonacea; Plexauridae. The record is from Rfam by way of RNAcentral.